CCUACGGGAGGCUGCAGUGGGGAAUAUUGCACAAUGGGGGAAACCCUGAUGCAGCGACGCCGCGUGAGUGAAGAAGUAUUUCGGUACGUAAAGCUCUAUCAGCAGGGAAGAAAAAAAGUCCUUUGGACUUUGGACGGUACCUGACCAAGAAGCCCCGGCUAACUACGUGCCAGCAGCCGCGGUAAUACGUAGGGGGCAAGCGUUAUCCGGAUUUACUGGGUGUAAAGGGAGCGUAGACGGCAGCGCAAGUCUGGAGUGAAAUGCCGGGGCCCAACCCCGGAAGUGCUUUGGAAACUGUGCAGCUGGAGUGCAGGAGAGGUAAGCGGAAGUCCUAGUGUAGCGGUGAAAUGCGUAGAUAUUAGGAGGAACAACAGUGGCGAAGGCGGCUUACUGGACUGUAACUGACGUUGAGGCUCGAAAGCGUGGGGAGCAAACAGGAUUAGAUACCCGAGUAGUC
This 457-nucleotide ribosomal RNA is filed under the name uncultured bacterium. RNAcentral describes it as "partial 16S ribosomal RNA". It matches the Rfam family "Bacterial small subunit ribosomal RNA", at positions 338 to 795 of the family's 1533-position model. The record is from RNAcentral.